GCUGGAGAAACAUCCACACCACACGCGGUUUCACCUGCCACACGGCAGCCCCGGUGCCCGGAUCACUGUGCGUGGAGACUUAGGCUCACGGGCAAACCUCCUCCGGGUUCCGGUCAGUGUGCUGCCUCCCUAUCCACUGGGAGCCGUUUUGCGUUUCGGAUGCUCCCAGGCUCUCCCGCAGUUUAAAGACUUAACUCAGCGGCUUUCAGGGCCUGUGGUUAAGGGGCUCCGAAAGAACUGUUGCCGGUGGACCGGUUCAGGGUCUUGACUUCGCCACACAAAAGAACUUGAGAGCACGUCCAAAGUAAAGCUAAGACCUCUAGUACAGUGUUCAAUGGAACUGGUGAGAGAAGACAUCCUUGCUGUGUUCCUUAUAUGAAGAGGAAAGCAGUCCUUCUCCAUUAAGUAAAAUGCUGACAACAUGAGCCUCCCGUGGUCGGAACAGGCUUGUGAAGGCAGUGCUGGGAUGCACCAGGGCAGGAGCUACAGAAUGCACCAGCUGGAGUCAACAUUAAAGGGCCCCUUUCCCAUUUGCUGUGGAAGAUGUUUAAUUGGAAGUCUCUCCCUGCCCCUUGACCCUCUGGUGCUGGGCACCAAUGAGAAGCUCAUCUGGCCCCGGGAUCCUGGCAGGACACUGGAAGCAUUAUUGCCAUGGGCAACAGGGUUGUUCCUGGAAACAUCACUGACCCAGGACACCUAGCACAAUGGCACUCGAUGUGAAAGUGGCUUCAUACAAAUCUGCCACUCAAGCCUAAAUAAGUGCAUUCCAGAAGAGCCACAGCCUCUCUAACAGCUCCUGAGGUGAGGGAAACCCUAGGGAUGGGAAGCCGGAGCAGAAAGAUGGUGGCCUAAAGUCAACUGCAGUGAAAAUCUCUCCCCAUCAGCAAGUUUUGCAAAGCUAUGGCCACAGGAACACAUGACUAGGGCCCCUCCUAGUCUUGGAAGGAGCCCCCAUGAAAAUGAGGGCCUCACAGUGAAUCCACCUCUGAUCCUACUUCACCUGCAGUCAGAUAAGAAGAGAUUUCAAUCAGCUAAAGACACCCUAUCUCCUCUCUCCAACCCCUGUGACCCCAGGAGCUCCUGCCUUGUCACUGUGUCUGUCCCCAAACCAACCACAUCUGAAUCAAGCCCCUUUCUCUCCCUAGUGGUCACCGUCUGGGCUGUGAUGGGCGGCUCCCACUCUUGCCUUAGAAUAUGACUGGAGAGGUGACUUCUCAUCACAUGGUGAAUAUGUUCACCCCAUGGUGCUUUCCACCCAAGCUGACCAUCGCUUGACAUUUUGGUGUAGUUGCUAGCUCCGUGCCAUCUUUGGCAAUGUGACCCUGAAGCAGCUGUCCCCAGUGUGCAUUUGGAGGAUUUCAUAUAAUUAUGAAUAGGAUGCAAAUUUUAUAGCCCUAGUGAAGGGAAACACCCCUGGCGAGGCUUCCCGGGGCCAGAGAGAGGACUCCAGUGAGGGAGAUGGUGGCAGGGCCAUUCUUUGUGUCCUGCUUUUUUUUUUUUUUUUUUUUGAUAUCCUCUUUAUGUCCUGAGAGCUAUGUGCAGAUGAGGAAAAAUGACAUGCAAUGCAUUUUUGCCUGCCACAAUGACUUUGCAAUCAUAGCAAGCAAAAUAUUCUAAACAGUAAGUGAAUCGAGGAAGAUGUACUGCCAAGUCAGGAAGAAAAAAUCCACCUGUUCAGUGAUUUCAGGAACUGCUGUAGAAAAUCACCAGUGAGUAUCAGUUUCUGCAAGAGAAUCGCAUGCAGGCUUUGCUUCUCAUCGGAAUCCCCCAGCUGGUGACUUUGUUGACUGAGAGUCUGGGGGAGAGGGCAGGGAAUGGAUUUAUUCUCUGCUAGGUUUUUAACAGUCAUGAAGGGCUGUGGUCCUAACGGGCACUGCUCAAACCUUAGUGUGCAUCGGAAUUAUCUGGAUAAGGCUAGGCACAGUGGCUCAAGCCUGUAAUCACAGCACUUUGGGAGGCUGAGGCGCAUGGAUCACCUGAGGUCAGAAGUUCGAGACCAGCCUGGCUUUUUUAGUAGAGAAACCCUAUGUCUAUUAAAAAGUACAAAAUUUAGCCAGGUGUGGUGGUGAGUGCCUGUAAUCCCAGCUACUUGGGAGGCUGAGGCAGGACAGUCACUUGAAUCUAGGAGGCAGAGGUUGCAGUGAACUGAGAUCGCGCCAUUGUGCUCCAGCCUGGGCAACAAGAGCGAAACUCUAUCUC
This is a long non-coding RNA of Pongo pygmaeus (Bornean orangutan), 2199 nucleotides long. RefSeq lists it as uncharacterized. NCBI's taxonomy places the organism in Eukaryota, Metazoa, Chordata, Mammalia, Primates, Hominidae. The transcript is spliced from 5 exons. The record is from RefSeq and is a predicted model, not a curated record.